UUGGAGGGCAAGUCUGGUGCCAGCAGCCGCGGUAAUUCCAGCUCCAAUAGCGUAUAUUAAAGUUGUUGCAGUUAAAAAGCUCGUAGUUGAACUUCAGGCCUGGCUGGACGGUCCGCCUUCCGGGCGAGUACUGUCUGUGGUCGGGUCCUACCUUCUGGCGAAGCGUCAUGGUCUUAACCGGCCGUGGCGGGGAACCAGGACUUUUACUGUGAAAAAAUUAGAGUGUUCAAAGCAGGCGAUUCGCUUGGAUACAUUAGCAUGGAAUAAUGGAAUAGGACAAUGGUUCUAUUUGUUGGUUUCUAGGACUGUUGUAAUGGUUAAUAGGGAUAGUUGGGGGCAUUAGUAUUCAAUUGUCAGAGGUGAAAUUCUUGGAUUUAUUGAAGACUAACUACUGCGAAAGCAUUUGCCAAGGAUGUUUUCAUUAAUCAAGAACGAAAGUUAGGGGAUCGAAGACGAUCAGAUACCGUCGUAGUCUUAACCAUAAACUAUGCCGACUAGGGAUCGGACGAAGUUAAUUUUAUAAUGACUCGUUCGGCGCCUUACGGGAAAC
This 550-nucleotide ribosomal RNA is filed under the name uncultured Paraglomus. Its description in RNAcentral is "SSU rRNA". It matches the Rfam family "Eukaryotic small subunit ribosomal RNA", at positions 548 to 1098 of the family's 1831-position model. The record is from RNAcentral. Lineage: Eukaryota; Fungi; Glomeromycota; Glomeromycetes; Paraglomerales; Paraglomeraceae.